RNAcentral lists this ribosomal RNA (711 nucleotides) under uncultured bacterium. Its description in RNAcentral is "bacterial SSU rRNA". It matches the Rfam family "Bacterial small subunit ribosomal RNA", at positions 56 to 755 of the family's 1533-position model. The record is from RNAcentral.
UGCAGUCGAACGGCAGCACAGUAAGAGCUUGCUCUUAUGGGUGGCGAGUGGCGGACGGGUGAGGAAUACAUCGGAAUCUACCUUUUCGUGGGGGAUAACGUAGGGAAACUUACGCUAAUACCGCAUACGACCUUCGGGUGAAAGCAGGGGACCUUCGGGCCUUGCGCGGAUAGAUGAGCCGAUGUCGGAUUAGCUAGUUGGCGGGGUAAAGGCUCACCAAGGCGACGAUCCGUAGCUGGUCUGAGAGGAUGAUCAGCCACACUGGAACUGAGACACGGUCCAGACUCCUACGGGAGGCAGCAGUGGGGAAUAUUGGACAAUGGGCGCAAGCCUGAUCCAGCCAUACCGCGUGGGUGAAGAAGGCCUUCGGGUUGUAAAGCCCUUUUGUUGGGAAAGAAAAGCAGUCGGCUAAUACCCGGUUGUUCUGACGGUACCCAAAGAAUAAGCACCGGCUAACUUCGUGCCAGCAGCCGCGGUAAUACGAAGGGUGCAAGCGUUACUCGGAAUUACUGGGCGUAAAGCGUGCGUAGGUGGUUGUUUAAGUCUGUUGUGAAAGCCCUGGGCUCAACCUGGGAAUUGCAGUGGAUACUGGGCGACUAGAGUGUGGUAGAGGGUAGUGGAAUUCCCGGUGUAGCAGUGAAAUGCGUAGAGAUCGGGAGGAACAUCCAUGGCGAAGGCAGCUACCUGGACCAACACUGACACUGAGGCACG